Tarenaya hassleriana is the source of this 3609-nucleotide RNA transcript. It is a transcript of the gene named CSC1-like protein RXW8, with no coding region annotated. The transcript is spliced from 13 exons. The record is from RefSeq and is a predicted model, not a curated record. NCBI's taxonomy places the organism in Eukaryota, Viridiplantae, Streptophyta, Magnoliopsida, Brassicales, Cleomaceae.
UUAAUCAAAUUUCAUCUUUUGUGGUCCUUGAAGUUUUGAAACAAGGAACACGAACAGCGUGGAAUCGAGUUGUAUCGCAAUUUGGAAUUUUCUUCGCGCGAGGAAUUAGGUUUCUUAAUCACUCGAUUCGUGUUCUAUAGGUUCCUUUGAAGUCUAGGCAUAGUGUUGGCUUUUUCGCGUCUCCUUUCCACCUUGAGAGUCAUCUGCUUGCUUACAUCACCUCAUGGCAGCUACGUUGUCCUGUUCUGUUUUCAUUCGUUAGUGAAAGGGGUGUUGGACAGAAAGAGUGAUGGACAUAUCUGCUCUUCUAACAUCUGCUGGAAUUAAUAUAGCGAUAUGCGUGGUGCUUCUGUCAUUAUACUCGAUUCUUAGGAAACAGCCCGCCAAUUAUUGUGUCUACUUUGGCCGAAAGCUUGCUAAUGGAAGAGUUAAACGUUAUGAUCCUUUUUGGUACGAAAGGUUUGUGCCCUCCCCAAGUUGGCUGUUGAGGUCCUGGGAAACCACUGAAGACGAGUUAUUGGCUACUGCUGGUCUGGAUGCUGUGGUUUUCAUCAGGAUGGUCGUUUUCAGCAUUCGUCUGUUUUUCAUUGCUGCUAUUAUUUGCAUUGGCCUUGUAUUGCCUGUUAACUAUUAUGGGCAACAGAUGGAGCACAAGGAAAUCCAUUUGGAGUCAUCUGAUGCAUUCACAAUUGAGAACAUUAAGGAAGGCUCAAAAUGGCUCUGGGCGCAUUGUCUUGCAUUGUAUGUCAUAUCGUUUGCGGCUUGUAUUCUUCUCUAUUUUGAGUACAAGAGCAUAGCAAAAAUGAGGCUUGCAUAUAUUACUGGAUCUGCCUCGAAGCCUAGUCAUUUUACAGUUCUUAUCCGUGCUAUUCCAUAUUUUCCUGGACAAUCCUACAGUGAAACAGUGACCAAAUUCUUCACAAAUUACUAUGCAUCGAGCUAUUUGUCGCACCAAAUGGUCUACCACAAUGGCAUCAUUCAGAGAUUGCUGCGUGAUGCAGAGAGGAUGUGCCAAGCUAUAAAGCAUGUUUCUCCAGAUGUAAGUUGUAAACCCAGUUUGACUCGAUGCACCUUCUGUAGCGGGGCUACACCUACAAGUUCCUUUCAUAUCCUUGCUCACGAGACAGAUAGUAAUAAAAGCAUGGAGCUUGGUGAGUUGUCUUUGGCUACAACAGAGCAAGAGCGUCCAUCUGCUUUUGUCUUUUUCAAGACACGUUAUGCUGCUCUUGUUGUUUCGGAGGUUCUUCAAUCACCGAAUCCUAUGUUAUGGGUGGCAGACUUAGCUCCAGAACCUCAUGAUGUUUAUUGGAGGAAUCUCCGCCUACCUUAUCAGCAACUAUGGAUACGGAAAAUAGCAACACUUGUUGGUGCAAUUGCCUUCAUGUUUGUGUUUCUCAUACCUGUGACCUUCAUUCAGGGUUUGACUCAACUAGAACAGCUCUCCCACGCAUUUCCUUUUCUAAGAGGCAUUUUGAAAGGGAGGUUUAUGAACCAAGUCAUCACAGGGUACUUACCAAGUGUCAUCUUGAUACUCUUUUUCUAUGCGGUUCCACCCACAAUGAUGUAUUUUUCGACAUUGGAAGGAUGUGCAUCACGGAGUAGAAGGAAGAGAAGUGCAUGCAUCAAAGUUUUAUAUUUCACCAUUUGGAAUGUAUUCUUCGUGAAUAUUCUUUCAGGAUCGAUUAUCAGGCAAUUAAGCGUGUUCUCGAGUGUUAGAGACUUACCAACGCAACUUGCCAAAGCAGUGCCGACACAGGCUAGCUUCUUCAUGACUUAUGUUUUCACAUCAGGUUGGGCCAGUUUGGCAUGUGAAAUCAUGCAACCCAUUGCUCUUAUCUGGAAUCUGGUUGCAAAACUUAUUGUCAAGAACCAGGAUGAUUCGUAUGUGACGCUGAGGUUUCCGUAUCAUACUGAAAUUCCAAGGCUACUUUUGUUUGGGCUCCUUGGUUUCACCAAUUCUGUCCUGGCGCCUCUUAUACUGCCAUUCUUGCUGAUCUAUUUUUCCCUCGCAUAUCUUAUAUACAAAAAUCAGAUACUCAACGUCUACAUUACCAAAUAUGAAAGUGGUGGACAAUAUUGGCCUAUUUUCCACAGCACAACACUGUUUUCAUUGAUCCUGACACAAAUUAUAGCGUUGGGAUUUUUUGGAUUAAAGCUCUCGCCGGUGGCUUCGGGUUUCACCAUCCCUUUAAUUCUUCUCACUCUUCUUUUUAGCGAGUAUUGCCGGCAGAGAUUCUUGCCAAUUUUCAAGAAACAUCCAGCUCAGGUUCUUAUAGACAUGGACAGAGAAGAUGAGCAGUCAGGAAAGAUUGAAGAGAUACACAAAGUUCUGCAAACUGCGUAUUGUCAGAUCCAGUUAUCCUCCCAGGAAUCGAGCAAAGCUGGGAGCAGUGUUCCUUGCUCAGAUCCAGAAACACAAGAUCCUGAAAAUAUGAAUCAAGGUGGAGAGAACGGCAAAGGUAAAGAAUUAUGGGAGGUUUUCCAGAGCAAUGAAGAGAAAGAAGAAAGCGGCGAAUGUGCUGAGAUCAAGCCCUGUACUAGCCCCAGUGUUUCUCCAAAGCUGAUUGAGCUUUCGUGACCGAACGCAGAGCUCAGGUUUAAGUAGGUGGAGGAGUUGCACUCCAUAUAUCUUCACUCCAUGAGUUGUUCAGACAGAACAAACUUCUUGGAACAGCCAUCCAUCUUGACAACGUGGUACGGGGAUCAGGAGGGAGCAUAUGGUAACGAGAUUCCGUGCCUUUGAAGAGGGGGAAUAUAUGGUUGCUUUGGAGUAUCUGUCCUUUUGUAGAUAAUAAAUACCCUCUAGGAAAUGUAGGCGUUCGAAGUGAAGGAAAAAAAGGGGGGGAAAGUCACAGAAAUAUGUGUAGUCCUCCUAAGAUAAAGAAGUACAUUUCAUAGUUCUGGCCAACAGAAGGAGAACGGUGAAGAAAAACACUCAUCUGCUUCUUUCUUGGAACAGCAACCAUAUCUACGUGUGAGGUUUUAUACUCAUUUUUUCUGCAGACGUGAAAAGUCGGAAUCAUUCGCUAAUUUCACUUAUUAGCGUGGGCCGUGGGAUGAGCUAAGCAAGGACGUCACAGUGGGAGCCGUCAAUCUCCUCGUCAACUCUCUUUCUUUCAGAUAAAGCUUGACUCUAAAUUUUCCAUCACUCGUAGAUAUUUUCGGCGGAACCGAAGAUAAACCCAUGAUUUCUCCGCCGCCAAAGUCUCAGCCUUUGGAAUCUCCGCCGCGGAUUCGUGCGUGUUCACUCCCUCGGUUCAUCAACUGUUCUUGCAUUUUCUUCUUCCGAGACGAUGGUUCUACUGAUACUUGUCCUGAGAUUGAUCUAUCUCUGUCUCUUCCACAGACACAGAUACGAAGUGGGCACUCUCUCGUAUGUCGCCUUGUCGCUUGUAGCCAUCGCUUUUGAUCUUCUCUGUACAGUCACGUGGCUUGGUUAUGUUAUUGCUUAGGUUACUGCCACUGUUUUUGUGAUUCCAUUCGAGAAGGAACUGAAACAGAGCAUUGAUGCUUUGAUUCAGCGAUCAUGGUUUGUUCAUUGUAGUUUUGAUUUAUGAUGUAAGGUUUCUUUUUUUAUUCAAAUGAAAUAUUAUGGGUUAUUGCAGUUCA